UAUAAAAUACACACAGCAUGUAAUGCUAACUACUACUUUCUGAGCGUAUAAUGCAAAAAAUAUACUUUCAGCAGUUGCAUAGAAAAGCUUCAGUGCAGCGGAGUUAAAGAACCUGGAUUUCAUAAUGUAAUUGAAAAUGACUCAAUUUUAUCCCAGUCAGAGGAUGGGAUAGUAUAUUUGUCUAAGCUGAACGUGUUCAAGACAGUUGACAGGUAUUGCAGAUAAGGAUGAGUCUAACAAACUAAGUGUAGGUCCUGUCAUCCAAAUAACCAUAAAGCUGUCAAUGGAAACUUUGCUUACUGUGCUUCCUGAUAGGAUUGUUUAUGGUUGACCACAUGGUCCAUUUAGUUCAUUACUAUGUCUUGUGCUUGCUUCAUCAGAAGAGCUUGAGAUCAGGGACUAAAGAACACUUGUGCUUUGCGAGAGGAUAUGCCAUUAAACUUCUUCAAGGCUGACAAGUAAUUUCUAUUAUGGCUGCAUUUAAAUGUUUGUGAAAACUAUUCCCAUUUUCUUAUCAACAAAGCAUCAUCAUCAGCACAUCUCGAGGAUGAAAAUACAUUUGGAAGCAGCCACCACAAGAGCAAUGCAACUGAAAUGUUCUCCUGAGGACAAUAAGCAAGCUCUUUAAAGCACCGACAUGUCCAGACUUUUAAUGAACCAUCUCUUCAGACUUACUGAGCAUGCACCAACUGCCACAGCUCUGGAAAGGGAAAGGACUGGAAAUAUGCCAUCCUGGAGGGCAACAGGGGCUUCACAGUGCUUUGAACUGGAAGGAGAGGUGCAGAGAAAGGGCCCUUGGUUAGAACUGGGAACUGUAUUCUUGAUAAUUCCCUGCUGAUACAGUGAGAAAAUAGAUUGAAGGUAAUUGAAGGUAAUAAGGUAGGAUCUGUGUGUGAGGGACAUAAGCCUAAAAAAGCAACGGCUAGUGUGACCUUGGUCUUGGAGCAUUAGUUUUACAGCUGAACAGCAGAAAAAGGACAUGAAGCAGUUCCUGCUGGAGAUAUAAAGCUUCUGUAGAUAGUUAGAUUUCAUGCCAUUUGCUGACACAAGAGGAGCGGUGGGAUAAGAGGACCUUUUGUGAUGUGUAGACAUAGCUUGAGACUUUUCA
Molecule: long non-coding RNA, 1108 nt
Organism: Pezoporus flaviventris
Lineage: Eukaryota; Metazoa; Chordata; Aves; Psittaciformes; Psittacidae
Exons: 6
Source: RefSeq, a predicted model, not a curated record